GAUGAACGCUGGCGGCGUGCCUAAUACAUGCAAGUCGAGCGAACAGACGAGGAGCUUGCUCCUCUGACGUUAGCGGCGGACGGGUGAGUAACACGUGGAUAACCUACCUAUAAGACUGGGAUAACUUCGGGAAACCGGAGCUAAUACCGGAUAAUAUAUUGAACCUCAUGGUUCAAUAGUGAAAGACGGUUUUGCUGUCACUUAUAGAUGGAUCCGCGCCGCAUUAGCUAGUUGGUAAGGUAACGGCUUACCAAGGCAACGAUGCGUAGCCGACCUGAGAGGGUGAUCGGCCACACUGGAACUGAGACACGGUCCAGACUCCUACGGGAGGCAGCAGUAGGGAAUCUUCCGAAAUGGGCGAAAGCUUGACGGAGCAACGCCGCGUGAGUGAUGAAGGUCUUCGGAUCGUAAAACUCUGUUAUUAGGGAAGACCAAAUGUGUAAGUAACUAUGCACGUCUUGUCGGUACCUAAUCAGAAAGCCACGGCUAACUACGUG
RNAcentral lists this ribosomal RNA (497 nucleotides) under uncultured bacterium. RNAcentral describes it as "partial 16S ribosomal RNA". It matches the Rfam family "Bacterial small subunit ribosomal RNA", at positions 28 to 507 of the family's 1533-position model. The record is from RNAcentral.